AUUGAACGCUGGCGGCAUGCCUUACACAUGCAAGUCGAACGGUAACAGGUCUUCGGAUGCUGACGAGUGGCGAACGGGUGAGUAAUACAUCGGAACGUGCCUAGUAGUGGGGGAUAACUACUCGAAAGAGUGGCUAAUACCGCAUGAGAUCUGCGGAUGAAAGCAGGGGAUCGCAAGACCUUGUGCUACUAGAGCGGCCGAUGGCAGAUUAGGUAGUUGGUGGGAUAAAAGCUUACCAAGCCGAGGAUCUGUAGCUGGUCUGAGAGGACGAUCAGCCACACUGGGACUGAGACACGGCCCAGCCUCCUACGGGAGGCAGCAGUGGGGAAUUUUGGACAAUGGGCGAAAGCCUGAUCCAGCAAUGCCGCGUGCAGGAUGAAGGCCUUCGGGUUGUAAGCUGCUUUUGUACGGAACGAAAAGCCCCGGGUUAAUACCCUGGGGUCAUGACGGUACCGUAAGAAUAAGCACCGGCUAACUACGUGCCAGCCGCCGCCGUAA
Molecule: ribosomal RNA, 498 nt
Filed under: uncultured bacterium
Lineage: Bacteria
Description: partial 16S ribosomal RNA
Rfam family: Bacterial small subunit ribosomal RNA
Source: RNAcentral